AAGCUGUUCUGUUGUUGCCCUUUUUUUUUUUUUUCCUGCUGUACCUAUUCAAUGAUCCCAUGUGAAUAAUUCAUUCAGACCUAAAGGAGUGCUGAACCCAUGUGCUUCACAGUAGUUAACCAGGAAGAGGAGGAAGGAUUGUCCUGUUAGUAGUCUGAAAUGAUUAGAAGAUCCAUGGGAAUGGAAGCUUUCAGAAGGAGGAAGGGUCAGGUCUGUCUUGGAGAACUCAUCCCCAUAGAAGCAAGAGGGAGGCUGUUCCAGUAACUCUUGUGGGAGGUCUAGCUGGGAAGCCAUCAUUGGCAGCACCGCACUCCCCCUGUUCCCAGACAGGAUUUCAGCCCAUUACAAGGACUAGCUCAGCUCCUGCCUCUGGUGCUUUGGUCUGCUAGAAAACUCAGACAUCAAUAAGGCAGUUAAGUUUGUAUAUUGAAUCAUGCAAAGUAUGGAUUAUGCAAAACAGCCCAGCUGUAAUUUCGAGUGAAAGGAGAGACAGGUCAACACUUUGCAGGACUUUACAGGACAGAACUCUAAGCACUGCAAGAGAUCCUGACACCAGUGAAUGAGUCCAUGCAGCAGAUCAUAAACACAUCACCAAGUCAUGAUAUUGGAACAUCACUUCCUGCCGAUACCUAAAUAUUAAUCUUUAUACAGUUUUGAACAGGACUGAAUAUACAGUUGCCCACUUUUGAGCUACUGCUAAAUGGAAUUCAGCAUGUUGUAUGUUGUAUGGGUUGGAGAACAGCAGAGUUGCUCGGGGGAGUGAGGGGAAUCAGGUGUGCUGCUGACAUGCUGUCUGCUCCAAAGAUGCUUGAACCCUGCUGUCCUGAGCAUGGGAGCGCUCAUGGAAUUGGAGGAAGGUUCCUUGUUCUCAUGUCCAGCGAACAGCAGGACUGAAAACCCUCUCUGUAGGCUCCUCCCAAAGCCAUGCACCACUACUCCUGCAGGCUUAUACCUCUCUUCCCAGUCUGCUCCUGAGUUCUGUCUCUGCUUCUCCAUCUGCUAGCUUUUUUCUACAUAAAUCCCUGCCCCAAACAAGAUCAACAAUGCUCCCCACCCAGAUCUUUUAAAUUCCUGAGCAACCUUGUAUUCACCUUGUGUAGGGCAGAAACAUGUGCUGAACUGCUUCUUACAGCUCAGAAGAGAUGUGCGGUGGUUAAUCCUACCAUUUUCAACUAGGCUGAACUCAGCUUAUAACAAAACCAUCGGUAAAAAUGUAACCACUUCACAACUGUGUAUGUGUGCAUGUGUAGUAUGUGGAAGGAAUUUGCAAAAGAAUUGGCCAUCUUUCCAUGAAGUUCCAGCAGGAUCCACAAUCAGAAUGAGGACUCAGUUCAGUUCAUUUGCGAGUUUCAUAUAGGAAGAAGUGUGUAGUUCUUAGUGAUUUAUUCUGUUGGAACUAUAGAUUCUGGUGCCCUUAUGGUUUCUUCUUCAGACAUCAAGCCCCACCAUUUUGAUUCUGAACUGGCCCAAUCUAAACACUAGAUUGGGAGCCAGAGAGGCCACAGUAGUUGUUAAGUUUAGUCAGUCAGCCAUACACAUCUUCUGGGCUGGAACCAGCUUCCACCUGGCCAGUUUGGAGGAGUGUCUGCACUUCUCUCAGUUCACAGACUAACCUGGAUUAGCAAGCCUUUGCCUUCCUGAGAUCAUGGCAUUUGGAAUGGUUGAAUUACCUAGGGAGGUCUCUCUACUGAUGCUUUGCCAUAACAAAAACUCUGUUAUGUUCUGCUCACAAAUGCAUAAAAUAGUGCUUAUUGAACUUGAAUGUGUCAUAUAUGUGAACCCCAAAUUAUGCUGAUGUUGAUGAUCUUAAUAAGACAGCAUUUUAUGCUCUGAAAGGGCUUGUGCAUGAUGCAUUCUGUGGUCACUUGGAGGUAGGAGUUCUGUGAUGCAGUGUGGUCUCCCAUCAGCAGCAGGCAUGUUGAGCAAGGGAAGGGAAUGGUUAGGAGGCACUCCAUAACCUGACAUCUUCUUAAAGAGUUUAUAUUAAGGUGAGUUAUCACACAUAGCCAACUCUAAUCCCUUCUAAACGAAGGUUCUGUUUAUAGAAUAUCCAGGUCAGGAUUAUAAAUCUCUGAACAAAUCACAGGUAUAAUUAAAAGGAAUAAUGCCAAUUUUAUUUUCUAGUCGAUCUCUGUACUCCUUGGACUUCUCACAGAUAAAUACAGAUAGUAUCUCUGUGAACUAAUAGUAACUUGUUCGUUAUAGCACCUUUGAUUUUACCACUAGAUUGAAAUACAUACUAGUAUUAAACAUUGUAUAUAGUAUAACAAAGUGGUUAAUUCUUUCAGUUUUGCACUGCUGUGUUCAAUGGAGCUUUAGAAGUAUUUCCAAAGAAAUUUCCAACCUUCAUUUACUCUUUGUAGAUAAAUUUGUUUUGCCUUUUUCAUGCCAUUUUUGUGGUCAGUUUCGAGCAGUCAUCUUCAGUUCACCAAUGAGAAUUUCACAGGAAUGGAGGGGUUUCUCAAUGUGUCAUGGAAUUUUUGAAGAACAGGAUCUAUUUAAUCUUUGUCAUAUUACUUUGCAACAAAAACCUGAUUCUGAGAGAUAAGAAAAGACGACAGGACAGAGGGGAGCACCACAUGACCUAAUCUUACAUUUAAAGAGGUAGCACAUUCAUUUUAAAUUGAAUAUUUGUUAACGACUCCUUGUAAGGUGUUCAGAAAAUAACAAAGAUAACUUUACAAAGCAGAGCUUUACUGAGAGGGAAAAAAAUGGAAAAAGAUAUUAUGUCUUAGUAGGGUUAACAGGAACAUAUAUAUGUUCUAUCAGUAAAGCCAAUUACUGUAGUCAGUACAGUCAGUGGUACUUAACUAGUAGAUAUCUGGCAUAGUUAAAGGUAGCUUGUAACCCACUUACACAGUAAAGAGUAAGACUAGUACAGAAAUGUUCAAUUCUUUCAAUUAAAGCAUUUUAUCAAAUGCAGUAAACCAGUAUAUAACUUUGCUUUGAGAAAAAAGCCAAGAUGGAAAAAGGAUAAUUAUACUGUUCAGGUAAAUAACAUUUUCCUGACAGGAGUCCAAGUUAUAUUAAAAAAAAGAAAAAAGAAAAAAAAAAGGCUACCUUUCUUAGUUUCUAUUUUCCACUGGAGGUGUAGGGAAAAAUGCAUAUAGAAGUUUUUUUUUUUUUUUUUUUUUUUUUCCCUCAGUAUUUGGUGGUCCUUCCUUAAAACUUUUAAAACCAAAGCCAUUUCUCACAUCUGGUUGGAACACAGAUCUUUAAGCCAUUCAAGUAAUUCAAAUCACAUGUAAAAAUCUAAGCUACAGUGUAUGAAAUUCAAGAACAAUGUAGUUCUUACAGGGUCUGCAGUGUGCCACCUCUUUUAAUCAAUAACAGCCUCAGUUCAGUUUAUCUGUAAAUACAAGACUGCAGUUAAGAAUGAUCUACUGCAUUAUUUCAGUACUGAGAAUAGCAAGUUACCAGAUUAGUGACACUUUACAACUAUAAUAAUCUUAUCCCUGUACUCUAGAUGAAGUUCACAGCAAUACAGACUGUAUCAGAUUAUAGUUCCAAUGGAAAAUAUUGAAGAUCACUAAUAUCAAUACACAUUUCCUUAUCUCAACCAUUUGUAACUGCUUGUAUUGACUUUCAUUACAUUCCAGCAGUUCUGCUUAUUCCCAAAUGGUAGUCAUUAAUUUCCAUUAACUAAGGCACAACUAUACAUAAUUUAAAUUGUUUCCAAUAAAUGUUCAAUUAAUGUCUGUUAUCUGCAUUUAAUUUCCAUCGAUUCCAAAAAGCUACUGUUGAGCUUAAUUGCCACCAUAAUUAAAACAGUUUACCAUGAGCGUAAUUGGGUCUCCAUUAAUACCAAUGGACAGCUACAAGGACUGAUUACUCUCUUACUGUCAAGCAGUAGGGAGCAGUGCUACACAGAGAUCGCAGUGCAAAUGAAUGGCUACAAACCCAAACAGCUGCGGCUGAAGUUGACCAGAGAACAGUAUUUACCACAGCAACAAACGCAUGCUUUUCUAGGAUACCGGUCCAGAUGGCCAGAAAAUAUUCUAGAGGUUUCCUUAAGCUUAGUAUGGGAGAAAAAAAGUGAAUUACAUCAGACUGUUGAAAGUAGCACGGUAUCCUGGCUUGAAAUUUGUUCCACUUCAAAUAAAAGUGACAGCUGACAAAGGGAAGUUCUAGACCAACAGAAAAAUGGGUGCAACUCAUUUAAUCCUUUUUUUUUUCCCCCUAUAAGUUUGUCUGUUCAAAUACAGUGCCUGACCAAGAACUGGGGAGAAAAAAAUAAUAAAAGAAUAAAACCUCUACCUAUAGGACUGCUUCAGAUUGUUGGGGGGUGCUAUAGGUCCAUAGCAAUAGCUUAAAUUCAAUGAGAGUAGAUCACUUUAACAUAUUGUUAGGUAUUCUAUAUACAAGUCAGCUACAUUUAGAAUCUCAGAAAUUGCCAAUUCAUGAGAACAAAACAUCUGCUUAAGAGCGAUGAUCUUGACUAAUGUUCCCUUUGAAGAGAUAAACAAAAGAAUCAGCUUGCUGAAAAUUAAAUGUUACUACAUUUUCAGAAUGACAUUUUCAAUUUUGCAUUGCAAAAUGUUUUUUUCCUGUUUUCCAUACUAUUUCAAAUUGAGAUCUAAAUGGAAUAUUUUCCUUUUAUUCAAAUCACUUGAUUGACCAACAAGUAUUUUAUUCAUAAUCAUGCUUUGUAAUGGCUUUCUGGAUUGUUUUAUUGCUUUAAUUAGGAGUGGAAGUAAAAUUCACCCCUAAGACAUUGCCUGAGAUGAAAAGUCUGGAUUUCGCUGGGCUUCAGCUAGAGUACUUUUUCGCUAGCUUCACUUUCUGAAUAUAUUCAAAGCCUUGUCCAAAGUAGAGUUCAUUAAAAUAGACCAGCAUUAAAUCAUGGAGGGCAGAGCUUUGGUGUCAAGAAAUCUGUCUUACAAAGGAAAGAUUGCUGCCUUCUAGCUACAAAUACUCUUAUAAGGUCUGCACUGCCAGUCAGAAAGGACCUCCAAGCUAGUCCUGUGCUAAAGUUGUCACACAUCCCACACUGUACUAUGGUCAGACCUCUUGUCUACUAUGAAAUGAAAGUGAGUAUGGCUUUUCCUAUAUUUUUAUUGCAGCCUACUGUUUUUUAACAGUUCUGCAUUUGCAUGGCAAAUACAACAGAUGUUGAUUUGGGGCUGGAGUGCUUUAAAUUACCAUUGGACCUAAAAGUCCCAAAAUUUGAAGACAAUCCUGAUAGCUAUAUAUAAUGAACUGUUAUUCUAUUGUAAUGAAUGUUAAUCGUUUAACACCAAGUUAUCACCACAAGAAAAUGUGCGACUACCUCCACUGUUCCACUUGUACCCUCUUGUAUCUGUACUGCCCACCCAAAGACGGAGAAAUCCUGUAGACUUGACAAUCCUACUAUCCUAUAGACCUGAAAUCAAUAGUGUCAGGACAUCCCUGCUUGCAGCAGUUGUAAUGUGGCUAAUACACAGUCAGGAUGUGCUCCUACAUAGCAGGCAUCACUGUGCACCCACUCCUUCCAGUCCCUGCAACACCAUUGAGCUCCUAAUUAGAGAAGUUCACCUCAUACAAGAGUGUGAGCUGCCAUAGCAUUAGGUACAAGGUGGUACCUGGGGGUGAGGAAAAUUCCAAUUCCGUGUCCUCCUUUCUCAUUUAUGAGAGAGUUCUUAGGGUGGAAUAAAUUAAACAAAGGAAAUUAUGUUAUCAAAUCAGUUAAAUUUAUCUGUAUAUCCUUUCUGGUGCCAUAAAAGGUGACCGUUUUUCGAUCUUCAAAUGAAAUUUGGAGCAUAACUGAAAGAACAAAUUGUAAAGACUGGAGUUUUGUUUUGGAAAAUACCUUGCUACCAAUAUCUUGCAAAUAAAGAAUGUAAGCUCAAACAGAAUGAUGACCAAAUGGCUAAGACCAUAGUAUCAGGGCCUCAACAGCUUACCCUGUAAUUGCAUGGCAGCUAGAAAAGGCUGAAGUAGGCAGACAGUUGCCACAUCUCUGCUAUUCUGCUACAAAGGAAGAAGAGCAGAGAGGUGUGUUUUUUGUCUUGGGAAAAAUCAAAUUGCUAUCUCAGCUGUUGCUUUCCGUAUUGCCUCUACAUCAGAGAAAAACCAUACUUCCUUGUGUCCACUGUUCAGUUACUCAUCCCACUAAGGAGUAAGCAAGGAGAGAGGAAGAAAAAAGGACAAGUAAAAGGCUGAACAAGUCAGUGAUCAAGUGAGCCUUUGUUUUGAAGGCAGACACACAAUCUAAGGGGCAAUACUCCAUCUACAUCGUAGAGAAGGUUCAGCUCUUGAGCAGCUUAGAGCACAUCACUACAGCCAGGUCUCAAGGUGGCAAAGUCUUAGGCAACAGUUACAAACUUUGCAUCUGAAAUAAAAGUGACACCUCUUAAAACCAAACCCAGAUGUUGAGGGUAAUGGGCUACAGGAAUAUCUAGGAAGUGCUGAGCCUCUCAGGCAGCCCUGACAUGCAAACAUGCAUAACAAGGAGUUUAUGCACAUUCUGUAGAGGACUGAUACUGUAAAGAGCUGAUGCAAAGAACUGAACAAAGGAAACCAUUGUGAUACACAAUAAAGAAGGAAUUAUCUUGGUCUCUUGGAGAACUGUCUCUUGAAACCUUAUCUAUUAACUACUUACAUAGACACAGAUAUCAGCAGUGAUGGAUACUACCUGUUCUUCCUUCUGAUUCUUUCCCUUUCAUGCCAACAUUACAUCUGCCAGUUCAGGUCUAAGUCUUUCCAGCUAGCUCUCUUUCAAGAUUCUGUGUCAGCAAGUCUUCUGUGAGGCACCCUCCAGCAAUUUAGCAUAUAAGAUGAGAGCUGUGUGGUUUCUGGAACAUUAGAGUUUACACAUCUAAUCGCUCAGGUAUUCCUGAGCACAUUUAGCAAGAGAUCUGACAGUUAACAUCUAUCUAAAGGACUUGGUCCUUAGAGAGGAUGUUCACUGUUUCACACCAGAAUCUCUCAGAAAGGAGUCGAGUCUCUGCUUGGCAAUGGCAUUUAUCCCAAGUACUGACUGAUAAUGUGCCAUCUAUAUUUCAUACAGUUCCUCUGUAAUAAUCAACUGAUAAUGCAAGUAAACUUUAUUUCUAGAUCUUCUAGGAUCUUCUUAUUGCCUCUGGUUUUUGUUGUUGUUGUUUGUUUUGUUUUGUUUUGUUUUGUGGAAGAGAGGUAGUCCCAACCCAUAUACACGUUUCACUCCAAUUUUCUCCAUGGAAACCUCUUUUGUGUUAGCAAAUAUCAACCAGCUUCCCUUCUGGGAGUAAGAAUCCCAUGUCCUUAAUUUGCAACAGAGAUGAGAAUUUCAGUCUCUUUUUUCCUCGACUGUACAGGUGAGAAUGACUUUAUCUAUAGUCAGAAAGUAUGUGGAAGAACCUAUUCAUAAAAUCAUGGAGUCAUUAAGAUUGGAAAAGUCCACUAAGAUCAUCUAGUCCAAUCACACUAAAGGCAAGCAGAACAAAAUGUGUGCUAAAUAUGACAGAUAAUAAAGUAGAUCCCACUUGAUGUCACAGUUGCCACUUGUUCCAGUUAAUGAAACUCAUCCCGUGCCCUGAUAUGACAUGAAAGCAUGUCAUAAGAUCCACGUCUUUCAGUAAGUUCCCAAGUUAAACUGCAUGUUCAGUUUGCCACUUACCAACUAUAGUAGCAACACAGAGAGCUGUUGCUAUGAAGAGCCAGAACGGUAUUCACAUACCCAUAUAUUUAUAUAUAUUUUUUUGCCUAAUUAAAACAAAAGCAAAGUUCUGGAAGUAGGUAUCAUAAGGAAUGAAGUGGUAGUCUCCAAACUCAGCUGCACAGAAGUUUAUCCAUCCCCAGAAAAAUGGUAGCAAGUAACUUCUUGUAGACACUCACAGUGAGUGCAAUUGGCUGUUCCUGCCUCCAAGGUUAUGACGGCAUAGCACACGUAGCAUCUCCUACUUGUGCCCACAUGCCUUGAGCUCAUUUUCCUAAAUAACGUAACUGAGAAAUCACAAGCUGUAACCGAUGUUUUGUCACACCGCACCACGUAAGAAUAUAAUUGUUUGUCUUUUUCCAUGUGAAGAGUUUCUCAGCUUCUCUGGAUAUUCCGAUUACCACUAUAAAAAUAAUUUUGCUCUGCAUCCUCCUAUAGUUUGGAACCUCAAUAAUUUAACCUUCAUUGAUAAAAUCUGCCAGAUUUUCCAGGCUCUGCAACCUGGAAGCAAAACAUAAGGAUUAGUUAAGGACUGCGAUAGGCUCGUGAGCAGUUGUUAGUUAUUCCAGUGGCAUAGCUCAUGCUGUUUUCCUUUCACACAAAUUACCCUGGAAGCCCUGCCCGCUGGGGCAGGUGCUCUCAGGAGAUAAGCAACAGUAUGAAAAGUUUGAGAAUUAAUCUCAUCGUGCAAUAAACUUGACAUCUAAUCUACUGCUUACAUUUGUAACACACCCAGGAGAGUUUAGCUGAUUUGCCAUUACACUGUUAAACAGCCACAGUAGCCAAUGUGUCCUUCCCAAUGCUUUUCAGUAGUCCUAUUUUACUGUAACUAAAGGUGCUGCACGUGCAUCUUCCGACGUGUUUUUCAGCUUUGCACAUUCAGACUUUCACUCAGUUCUGGACAAUGAACUCAGGUGACAGGGGAGUGGAGGAUCCCUUUUCCAGCUGGUUUCCUAUGGCGAAGGAUUCCCACUGUGCAAAUCUUGUGGAGAUUUGGCCAUGAUUGUGGUAUCCAGACACACAGCUUUUUUAGGCCGCAGGUGCUUUUGAGCAAGCACAAGACUUAUUCACUUGGAUUCUUUAAAGAUGGAAAAAAGGUCCUUCGAUAUUUUAGUACCUUUGGGGCUAGACAUCACUUGAGCAAGGGUUUUAAGGAUUUACUUUGAGUUGAAAGGAAAGGUACUUGAAUUUAACUUCUGCACCAAUUUAAAAUCCUAAAUCUAUUUUCUAACCUAACCCUUAGUCACUAGGGCAUCUGGAUGAGUGGAAAUGAUAAAAUAACCACCUUUGACAAUUCCUUAAAAUUCCUGAAUGAAAAGUACUCCUACAAGAUACAUAAAUGAUUUGACUGUUUCACACAGACCAGAAAAUCAGGACUAAAUUCCAAGAAAAAAUGACAUAUCACAACAUCAGCUCAAACAGAAGGUUCCAGCUGUUCCAAAUGCCACUAAACCACAAUGAUUAUUGCAAACAUAAAUAAAGCGAAAUCUUAAUCCAACUUUAUCAAGGAGUAACUAACCAUAUUUCUCCAUUCUUCUAGUAGUUAUGUGAGAGCACAUUUUCAUAAGCAAGGAGAAAGAUGGAAUGUUAGCUGCCACUUUCUCUCGUACUGUAUGAAAAACCCAAACACCUAUAAAUACAUCUAACGAACAACUGAAGCGGGGCAGAUCACAUAGGGUAGAAAAAAAUAACCCGUCAAACUGAAGUCUAAAUUAUGUCCUUGAUAAGUGGCUUGACUUGCGUUUGUUUUGAUUUUUUUUGUUGUUUUUAGUGGAUGAUGUCACUUCCUUUUGACCACCACCAAAAAUAAUUGUUGCCAGAGCUCUAUGGCUGUUAAACCAAAAAAAGAGUGGAAUUUUCUGAAAAUUUUUACAGCUUCAAUAGUCACUUCCAGACUGACAUUUUGUGUUUUAAAAGCUAUCUUUAAAGAACUAAAUAGGUGACAAAGCAUUCCAGAAUCUGUCAAAGUAAAAAAAAAAGUCAAAGCAUGGAAAUGCAAACCCAUUGCACUUACGCCACACUUUAUGCUUGCGGUGGAUGGUUUGGGUUAUUUCAUUUGCAGACUUCUGCCUCCAUUCAUUCCAGUAACAAAAGUGCUGAUAGCACCUUAUCUGUUCUAGUUAAGGUAGCUCUUUCUCUGUCCCACCAAGUUGAAAUGAUCACACAAAAUUCCAUGUUUUUUGUCAUUUUCCCACCAUUCUGUUACUCUCCAAAACAUUCUCUGAGAACCCUAAUCCUAGCUCCUUACAAUACAAGGAGGAGAAACACUGCAGUUGGGCACUGAUUAAAUGUUAGUGUAACUCUUUAGCAUUCCAAAAGACUCCUUACCAGUUAGUAAAGAAAGAUGCUUUUACAGAUACCAAAGAGAAUGCCUGCAGUGGGGUAUUGCAUGAGGAAACCUGAGCUAUCUGGAAGUGAGUCCUCGCACACUGGAGCAGCUGAGCCAUUAGAGCAGGACUGUUCAGGUUAGGAGCGCGCUGCCUGGAUAGGUAUCUUCUGGGUCCAGUGUCAUAUCUCUUCUUGGCAGCUAAUGAACGGUAUUUUGGAUCAGAGCAGUUUUCAUAAGGAUGUGUGCUACAUUUUAGAAGAUUUUUAAUCUCUUACCUCUAGAUGUGUAACCUGUAAUUUCCCUGUGAUAUUUAUGUUGCAUAUAUUUAUGUGUAAGUAACAGGUUGCAAAGAUUUGAAAAGCAAACCUGAUUUAUUUUUUUUGCUGGACCUGUCAGGGAUUCAGUACAGAGCACUGGCGUGGGCUGACCUAAGAAGUUGUGGACUCUCUGUUCUUGGUGAUAUUUACAAGUCAUCUGGACGUAUAUUGUGCAGUGUGCUGUAGGUGACCCUACUUGAACAAGCAGAUUGGACAAUAUGACCUCCAGAGGUCCCUUCCAACCUCAGCCAUCCUAUGAUUCUGUGAAAAAUACCGAAGUUGGAAUAUUAGUUAAAAAAUAAUGAAUAGAUUAAUGGGCUGGAAUAAGAGACAUUUACUGGGUUCUCUGGAAUGAGAGGACAUUCCACUGAGCAUUCCAAAUCUACAAAUCAAGUUCCUAUGUGCUCAGGUAGUGACAGAAGUGUUGCUCUGGGACUACGGGAAUGAGCAUAACAACACUGAAUGGAAGCUGAGUAAAAGAAGAGAGGUUUUAGUAGCUCUGUCACCACUUGUCCAGAAGAAAAUUGCUGCUUUGGACUCCCAUGUUGAUUCAUUUUUCCAGUAAUAUGAGCUGUCUGGGAGAUUCGCUGUUCAUUCCUUUUGCAUAAAUGGUCAGGUGAAAGCUGGAAUACACAAUUUCUACUCCCCUCUGUGAAAUACAACUUCUUGACAUUGUUUAAUAAGUGUAUUUCACUCUUUUCCUGUUAGAAGCAGCUUAUAUAUUUACGUUUGAAUGACAAAGUAGUUAUAGAGAAAAAUAUCUCCUAUAAUUUUUCUGCAAACUAUAUUGUUCUUUAAUAUGAACACAACAAUAAGGUUGUGUUCAUAAACAUACUGUUACCAAUAUAAACAAUUACAAAACCAUAAAAAAAUAAACGCACACAAUAACCAAAAGUAUAAACCCACCACUACUAAAUAGCACUUCAUAGCUGUGGCUCUGAAUUAUUACUGCUUUACCAACACAGCCACAGUAUCCGACUUCAUAAAAUUCUCUGCUCUACAAAUUAAAUGAAUUGGAUAAUUAAGAAAACCUAUGUUUAGUCCACAAAGGGAAACCACCAUCACUAUAGCAUGAAAAUGAACCCACAUUUUAAAAAAUGGUAACAUUUCAUUUCCUGGCAUGCAUGAUCCAUACCUACUUGCUCUCUAUCCAUUCGUAGCUGUGUGUAUAGGGAAUUUAGAAGCUGGGCAGCUACUUUGCUUCUCAAGACAGCCAGGGACGCGCUACUACACUACUACAAUAACUUCAGGUGUAGAUUAGAAAGUCUUCAGGAGUGGGACUUUGGCCCCCACCCAUCUGCAAGACACUUAGUCGCUAUCAGGAAAUUGAGAACUACAGACUGAGAGUAGGUGGUUUGUUACGAAAGACAUGGCACAGGCCAGAGAUGUGCAGGCAUUGCACUAGGACCUGUCACCCCCACUGUCAUAGCUGAAGACAGACUUUUAACUCUGCAUUUUCCUUCCUCGUGCCAAGAGAUGCCAAUUAUAACCCCUAAAAUAUGUUGGCUGUAUGGUGCUGCCUGAUUACCUUCAUUGCAUUAGCCAUAGGAACAGGGCAAAAACACACCUAUACUGAUGAUGUCAGGGAAUUAGGCAUGCAUGUUUUAUUCUGAACAGCAUCUCCAGAACAGUUGCUGGCACUAUGCCAGUUGCAUUUGACUUGUAAAAUCUCAGUGUUUGCCAGCAGGAUUUUUUGCACUGUAUGCAGAUGGCCGGGUGUUAUUCUUCCUCCACCCACAUGCCUGAGUCCAGUAACAGCCCUGCUCCUGGCAAAAUUCAAUCUUUUCUCAUCUCUCAACCCAUGCUCAUUCUUACAUUAGUUUUUAAUUAAUCUACGGUUAGCUGAAGCUCCCUCCAUGAAUCAAUGAUUUCCUUUCAAUUCUUGUUAAAGAUUUUUCAUUUUCAUAAACUUGCAGCAUGUUGCUGAGAAUCAACUAACAGCACAUUUUUCUCUCAUUAUCGCAUCAGUGAGGAAUGGACCCGAUGAAGCAAAAAGAGCAAAAGUAUGGCACCGAGGACCUCCAGGCCCUUCUAUCUGUUCUAUACAUUUUCAGAUGCUGCAAAUGAAAACACUGUCUUUUGCCACCUUGAAAACCAUGGGACUGAUUUUUUCCUGGUGUAAAGUGCCAUAACUCUGUUUUGGCACACAGGCAGGUUACUCUGACUUACACCACCUGAAUAUUUGACAGCUCCUACUCUUUAGUUAUACUUUCUAACUAAGGGAACAGCCCUCAGUGAAACUGCCCCUCAAACAGGAAUUGCGGGAGUUUUCUGUGACUGCAUUGUUUCUAAACGCAAGUUCUUCUGUUAUUUGAUGAAGGCCUGAUCAGAGUGGGAUUCAAUUUACAAGCCUUUGGCAAAUUGAAAACAGUCUUAAGAAUCCCGAGACUUUCUGAUCACAUUUGCUUUAAAGAAAAGUGAAUACAUUAUGUGAAAUAGAGUGAUGAGCAUACUUACCCCUGUAGGUGGCACGGGAGGAAAAAUCACUAUUUAGUCAAUGAAGGAAAAUGCAAGACAUCAUGCAUUUUAAGCUAGUUUGUCAGAUCUGUGAGCUGCAGGCACUGGUACUAGGUCCAAUUAAAGACAGAGUCCUUUAUGGCUUAAGCCCAUGCUCACUAUGCAUGUGUAUUACAUUAAACCUUUUAUUUUCCCUUUUCUCCAGUUACUCUUCUGUGCAUUUUGGUCUAAAUUUUCAGAAAAUUGCAUGCACAGUUCCUACAGUUAUGCAUGUAAUCAAUGAGCUAUUUAUGUAUACAACUACUGUGACCAGGUAUGAAAAUCGCCAAGCGGCUUUUGCCAUUUUUCAGUAAUUUAGACCUUUGUCAUUUAUUCAUCCGCUUUUGUUCGAAACAGUAAGUUCAUGGAAAUUUAAUUCAUUUGAAACAUAUGCGUAGAUCCAUAUGAACUGCCCAAAAGCAUCACAAAGAGAAAGGAUAACCUUGUUGUUAAGGCAGGAGAGCGCGAAAUCUGGUUUCCAUUCCGAGUUCUGCCACACAUUUCCUGUGUAACCUUGGGCAAGUCAUGAACUGUAACCUAUCUAAGUGUGGCUGACCUACAUGUAAAGCAGACAGAGCAAUCCUUGCUUCACAAGGCUAUUGAGACGUUUUGUUUGUUAGCACAUGUGAAAAACAUUGAAACAAGUAAGUGGAAGGUGCUAUAGAUGUAUAAGCUAUCAUUAAUGAUAUUAUAUAUGUGAUACGUGAUUCGUACUCGAUCGUGAAACAGUAUGUAAAGGAGCAAACGUAGCCACUGAGAACUGAGCAAAGAAAAUGGCAAACAAAUUCAAGUACGGAGAUGAACAAGAAUCAAACAGUGAUGGUGAGCAUGAACAGGCAUGUGAGUAAUUAACCUUUAUACUGCAAUUUUUACUGUCCUACUUGGUCUUGCCCUUUUACAAAAGGCUUAAGUGUCCGAAGACAUAUGAGAAGCACUGAGUUAGUUAAUUCAGCACUGACCACCAUGCAGUCUGUUUGAUCAGCAUGAAUUCUUUAAUCAGGACAAUUCUGACAGUUAUGUCGGGUAUUGGAUAAAGGCUUGUGGAGAGCAUUAUGGCGUUGUACUGAUCCGGAUAGCAUGUUCAUUUAUAGGAAAAUGUGCCCUCUUUCUUUCCUUAUUCACCAGGACAGAACUAUUAAGUCAGUUCUGUUGCUGCAGUUCCUUUCUUAUUUUUCAGAUAAAAUACAUUUAAAUUUGCACAUCCCCUCACCAUUUGGGGCACGGCCUUAUGGAAGACAUAUAAAUCGUGACAUAUUCUCUGAGAGUACAUCUCCUUUUAAAAAUGACCUCAUUUUGUAGCUGACCCAUGUACGGCAUUCACACUGACAUCAUUAGGAGUCUAGACUAUGACUAGUACAGCAAAAUGCUCCCUAUGUUGCUGAUCCAGCUAGGAUAAAAUGUUACGUCUUGGAUCUCAGUUUCCAUUUUGAUUAACAGAACCUUUCUUUUUGAGAUCCGAAACAAAGCAUUUGAGAAAAUGUGACAAUAUUUUUCUUUACCUUGGGAAAACACUUUUAUGAGUCUUUAUGUCACGUGUGAUAUUUUGGGGGAGGUUCUGAAAAUCAGAAUUGGCAAAGGAAAAUGGAAUAAAUGAAGAAAAUUCUAUAGGUUAAGUUUUUUUGAUCUUCGGGCAAAUGUUUUAUCAUAUGCCUUGAUUCAUACCUCUGAAGGUGAUGAUCAUCCUUUGAGUUUGUGUUCAAUCUGCAACUGAGAAAGCAAGCUUACUGAUAAUGUUCCUAAAUUUGCUACAGUGAGCUUUGUGCUUUCAAUGUGAAAUGCUUAGCUGUGCACAAAAUGAAAGUUUGAGAAGCACUGCUCUACAGAAAGUGCACAGAGGUUCUGGGAAACAUGCUAUCUGUGAAACCUAGCUGAGAGGAACUCAUCAGAAAGAGCUACCAGCAGUGUUAUAUUCUGCUUGCCUGUUACCGUCUUUGCUUUCCCACAGUUUGCUUUCUGCCCAAAAUACCUAAUUUCAUAAGUGACCUGAGAGCACCCAGCUAACCUAAACAGGCCUUCACAUGAACUCUUCUCCAUGUUUAGCAUAGCUUCUACUCUUAGUUCAUUAUCUGGGGCAACUCAAACCACAGCACCUGUCCAACAUGUCCAGGCUGGGCACUGGGGGCUGCAGGGAAAGAACCACACGAGGCUAUUUGUGUGGCUUGCUCCCAGGGGUGCAGAGCCUCCCACUUCAUCACACCCGCCUCCACUGCUGCCAUGCUCCAUCACGUCAACAUUCAUGCAGAAAAGCUACCCUGAUUCCCAUUAACAGUGUGCAGACAAUAAGGGGUGGGUGUGAUAGGCCACUGUGACCUUCUGCAGCACAUUGGCCCUCUGCAUUCUCUGGAAUUCUUCUCUACUUGAACUGGAGCAAACCUUUUGGAAAAAAAGAUAUGAUCUUGAUUUAGUAUUUUCCAAUGAGGGAAAAUACACUAUAAACUUUGGGAGAUUAUUUCAAUAGCUAAUUAAAGCCAAUUAAACCUCUGUGAAGAUCAUGAGGAAGGUCCUUAUCAGCUGCUGAGAAAGAAUCCAGAUUUACUGCUUUUAUAUAUGAAUUGCACGUGUUAAUUGUUGGUGGUGGUGGUGGUGGGUUGUUUUUUUGUUUUUGUUUUUUUUUAAAUCACUGAUUGUAAUACAAAAAAAGGAAAAAAAAAUCUGGUCAGCAGAAUGAUUAAAUGAAUCACUAUUUCUUUCCAGGUGAAGUGUUGAUCGAACCUGUUAGAUAUUACCUUAAAAAUGGAGAUACUAGGCACAUGCAGUGGGAGUAGUUUCACCAUGCUUUAGCUGGUCUUCAUUACAUGUGAGCUAGUUAAUGGAAAAAAACAGGCACAACAUGAUUCAUUUGAUCUUAGGCAUACACCUACCUUACAUUUGAACAGAUGAAUCAUGUUUUCAGUAUGUGUGACAGUUAAGAAAAUUUGGGCAGUGGCCCUAAUUCGGAGCAACCAGGAAAUGGCCUGCUGAAAGUGAUCUACCUGAUGGAAAACGAUCUGCAAAUGGCAUGGCAGGGGGAGUGGACCUUUAGCUCAAAUCCAUGGUGUUGCCCCUACUAUUAGGUCCUUGGAGUGCUGUGGAGAAGUACUCUAGAGCUGCCUCAUGACUAGGUUGUAAUUGUAAUUGUAAUUUAGUCCCACUGGUCUAGGUAAGGUCCUGGAGCUGGUAUGGAUCAUAUGAUUUAGAUGAACCUGGAAGGAAUGAAGUGCAUGCACUCUGUGAUGUCAACCAAAUCACAGCAAGGGAAAAACACUGGUGAUUCACUUUAGAAGUAUACUCUAGGUCUUUGUGACAGUGUUAAUGUUGAGACAGCCCAAGUGCUUUGCCUUCAUGACAAAAAGGUAUGCGGAUCUGUUCUCAAAACUGGUGGCUAGAUCUCAGUUGGUGGUCAUUAUUUCUCUCUUCCAGACAUUCCCAAAGGCAAAUAAAGUAGUCUACUCCUUCUUCUGUCUUGGUAUGUGUGGUUACUGACUUCUGUCAAAUACAGCUUGUAUGUUCAGGGCUGCAAUGUGUAUCAGCUUUGGAUAAAAGUGCCUAGGGAGCAGCUGUUUGCCUGGGUUUCAGACUACGGUUUAGCUACUACCUUUUGAGGAAGCAUUUAAUCAUCUGUGUUUCUCUUUCACCUGAACACAUGAUUAAGCUUACAGGCCAAAUCAGUUUGGUCAAAACCAGAUGUCCAUCAAAUCUAGGCAAUGAAAUCCUUUCUCUUCAUACAAAUCCCCCGCUUCAGUGCUGCAGAAAUACCCGCUUCCUUCUCUGCUUGGGUUUUUGUAAACCUACAGGUUUUAAAAGUAUUUGUUACUUUACACUUUGAUAUUGGGUAUAAUUUCUUCCACCGGUAAGGGAAAUAACCAGGAAUGAAGUUCUUUAAAUUCUAAGUUUAAGAAGAGAGAUCCAUCUUUCAUUCUUCUGUAAGUGUUAUGUUCAUCUACAGGCUCUAUAGUUAUAAAGGUGAGAGCUUCAGAGGUCAGAUGAGAAACAUUGCUUCAACAAUGUUGGGGGUCAUCACUGGAAUGUAAGAGAUUGUUUUAUUUGUAGAAGACUCAGCAAUUGUCAGAGGAAUAUCAUCUACCUUCUUUAUCCUCCAAAGAAAUUACCUAAUAGUUUGCAAUGAGGGUGACUUUGCAGAGGAUUUGCUUUUGUUUGAGUCAUCGUCUCAAAAUAAAGAAAAACAUUUUACUCUUAAAUUGUAAUUUUCCUUAGCUCUUUAAUGCCAGCUGAAAUUUAUACUGUUACCAACCAACGUAUGCUUUUUACAUUUUCUCUCCCUUUGAUAUACACCUAAUCAAAUAAAUAGGCAAAAAUAAUAAUUUGCUGUACUUUUAACUUAAGAUCCAAAAAAUUCCCCAAGAGAAGCUGGAUUUAAUUUCUAGAUAGGGAAGCCGAGGCAGAGGGAGCUCGAGGGCUUUGCUUGGGAUCACACAGGAGGCCAGCAAUUGAUUUGGGAAUAAAAUCCAGGUGUGCUGGUUAAUUUCUACAUGCAGUUCCCUAACCAACACAAACCUCCCAAUCCCUUCUCUCUACAGCCGUAUCUCAUUUCUGUGUUUUGGAGAAGCGUUACUUUAGUGCAAGGAUCCAAAGCAAUACCAGUUGUCUUAGUUGAACUUAUUGAAUUUAAAACUCAGUAGUGUUUUGCAUUGAAGUAUGUGACGUGUUUAUCCCACUGCUCAGUUCCUAUCACAGAAACGAAACUCUCAUAAAUCUCAGUGCUUAUAAUGUCUGCUAUCGAAAGACCGGGUCACUGAGAAGAAGAAGAAUGCGACGGAACGUGGCAAAAACGUUCAGCUGUUCCUGUGACAAACAGAGCCGAGGGAGAUUCUCUUCCCCUAUCUUCUAAAGAGGCUUUUAAAACGUUCGUUGUGGAGCAGCAGGUAGUUGUUAACAUCUCUAAAGGGUGGCCCGUCCGUGCAUAGAUGCGGAGGUGGAAUUCGGAGCACUUGUCUGACCCAAGCAGGAAGGGGCUGUUCCGUUUAACGAGGGCAAGCCCAGCCACAAAGAAGUGAUAAUGGAGAUGCCAUUGACGACAGGGAUACAUGCAGAAGCCACAGAGAUUCCUCCUUUUGUCUCCGGACUGAUCACAAGGAUCAGAAUUCAUUCACACAUAGAAAGAAACAAUUGCCCGAAGUGCCCGAAGGAAAUGCAGAGAGCCGAGUCCCAGGUCUAGCUGCGUCGCUUUGACCUCUCUGUGAGGCCUGGGUAAAUCCUGAAGAUGCUGGGCCACAAUUCUUAAGAAGGAAACUUCAAGUUCUUUCCGCUUCACUUCCCCUUCACAUGUCUGAGGCAGUUAGCGUUGCUGCCCCAUAGUCUGCGUGGCAGGAGCUGUGUGCUAGCUGUGGCACCCAUUGUCUGCAUUUUUCCUCUCGUUAGUCUCCUUGACCUUUCAUUGUCUUACUCCUGCAGUGUCAGGUCAGACUUAGUGUAGGUCUCCCUUCACUAAGGACCCCUUUCCUUUCGUGGAUCACUAAGCAGGACAAUUGCUCUAUCCAUCUUUUCAGGGUCUAUUGUCGAGCCCCCCCUGAGCUGAGAAAGGUUUGAUUCACUGGGAAACCAUUUUGGUCAAAGGGAAGCCUGACUAUGUGUCCUUUUAGGAACUCUGUCUUAAUCACUGACUUUUUUAUCUGGGAUAUGAAGAGGAUUCAGGAGAUCAAAAGGUUUGGGAGUACAUGGGUUUGACCACAUUUUUCCUGGAAAUAAUGGGAAACCUCCACUGAAAAAUGAGCUCCGUUACAAUGGGCAAACAAGAAGGAAAGCCACAUAGUGUUCCCAGAGCAUUCUGAAUCAUCGGACCUUCAAUAGCUUCCAUAAAGAAGGGAAAAAGUAAACAGAAAAAGUAAAUGGAAUGUAAUAAUUAAUGGACCUGAAGAAUAAGACUCAUUUUAUUUGCGCAUAAUCGGUGCUUUUGAAAAAAAGAUAAGUCAAAAGGAAUUGACAGAGCAGAUGGAGAAGACUUCUUGAUGACUGGAAGUUCAGUUGGGCUGAGCAUGUAGCAGACACACAUGUAGUUACUCAGAAUUAGUAGCUUGUGUCACCUUGACAAGUGACUGUACACUCAGUGGUUCCAUAUUCUUCCUAGGACCAUGAUGUGGAGGCCUUGUUGAAGCACCACAGUGGAACUAUGCUGGGUUUGAAGGCACUACCUUUGUCACUAGGUGUUACAUGUUCAGCCACAUACAUGCCAAUGCCUUGAAAAUUUCAUCUUGUGAGGGACAGACAUCCAGACAUCUACUUUUUCUAGGCAUUAUUUGUGCCUUUCCUGGCUAUGGAAUGCACCCCAGUAUUAGCAAGUUUAUAUUUAAACUUCAAUAUUUGCUCACAUAUUUUCCUGAGUCAAAUAAAAAGUGCCAGCUGGAUGUUAUGAGUGCCUUUGUACUGGCCUUUGGAUGAGGAGCUGCAGCAGGCUUCAAACAAGGUCAAACUUACAGGUUAUACCUUUAUUCCCCAGCAAGAAAGGGGGGAAAUAAGCCUUUAAAAUACAAAACAAAACAAAACAGAAACCUAGAAAACUCAUCUUAAAAGAAAAAUUCUCACCAGGUAUGAAGACUAUAAAGUGAUACCAUACCAGACCACACGUCUGAAAUGUUUCGAGGAGAGAUGAGUGUAGAACUGGAUGAGAUGCGAAGCAUUCCUAUUUUCUAUACUGAAAUUUCUGAACCUGAUGUUUCUUCAUUGGAAAACAGACAUAACCCUUUGGAUGUUUACAUUAAGUAUGCUUAGAACAAUUUGUUUUUUGUUGUUGUUGUUUUGUUUUGUUUACUGGUGUAUCUGUAUACAGUAACUUUCAUGCCAUCUUAAUGUGCUCCUGCCAUUUAACUUCACACUGUCAGCUGAUCUCUUAAUGUCAGCAGUGCAACUUUCUGUCAACACUACUAAGUAGAGGUGUCCAGGAUAUUAAAUAUGCUUGAAUUUAUAUACAUGAGGAAGGGAAAAAGUGAUUCAAGCUCUUCCUGAACUGCAGAAAGACCUGAAUUGUGCUUUGGUGGAACUGCUCCAGAACAAAAACUUCUGCUCCAGAAGAGUAUUUAGUUCUGAUUCUUAGUAGCACUAAAUAUCUUUUUUUUUUUUUUUUCUAUUAACAAGUGCCAAACACAUGAGGAGAAAAUAUGAGCUGGUAGAAUUAGUAUAGCUGCAGUUUUACACUUCCCAAAGGUAGGAGAAUGCUCUAGGAUACAUUUCAGAUACAUGAGGGAAGGCCUUCAUAUAACGGAAAUGCAGUCUCGUGACAUUAAACUGUUUUGGAAAACGGUUGCAUUUUAUGUAAUGUUCAACCCUGAUAAAGAGAAUUUUGCUGAAUAUUUCUAAGCACUAUCUAUCACAAAUUAAGAGUAUGUGGAAAAGCCACCAAUUUCACCUGUGUAGUGGAAAUGCUAAGUCACAGCCUGAAGCAGUGAUUGAGCACCUGGUGGGAAGGCAGGGCCAACCCAGGGGAGCUCAGGUGCACACAAUGCCCCUUCCCAGACCUCAUUUAAGGGUUGGCAGUGGAGGCAAUGCUAUUUUGCUAGAGAUGCCUGUGGCCUUCUAAGGGUGAGUAGAGUCUUUCUGUUUUCUUUCUGCAUUCAUAGUCGCUGCAUUUGAGCAUAUCCUUACUAGUUGCAGUCUAGGACUUUGCUACUAUACAGUCAUUGCAGUGCGUUGUGUUAGAACCUGGUAUUCCAUUAUGCAAGUUACUUAUUUUCUAUGUGUUUUUGAUGACUUUAUGAUGGGAACCUAACCCUUUAACUGCACUGUGCCUCAUGUGGCUAAAAAUGUUACAUCAAAAUGUACUUAAUGAGUAAGAGAGAUAAAUGUUUUCAUUAACUUCAAUGGCUAACAUUAAGGCUAUUGAUAGAAAACAUCCUACAUGAAGAAAGCUUCUAUCUGUUACUAAAGUUACUCCUUUAACCUACCCAUCAGCAGGGCGUUGUAGGCAAAGGCUUUCUAAUGCAGUUUUGUCAAAACCAGCUAGGUUAUUUCAAUCUGAGCAUCUGUUACGUGGCAGCCUUUAAAGAAAUUAUGUUUACCUCAUUUAAAGGUCUUGUAUGUCAUACUGCCUGGAUGUUUUGAGUGAUCUUAUAUUGUUUAGCAUUCCUUGAGUCUCAAAAUGUGUCUUGGGUGGGCUGCUACUCUUCUUCCCUUUGAAAACACCAUGCUGUCCCUAGGUAUCCUCACAAUUCAGCCUUUCUUGAUGAGCUGACUUUAGUAAAAGUGAUUAUGGACCUCAGGAGAAACUAAUUUUCCUGAUUGAGAAUUAGGUCAAGAAUUUAACUUAGCACAGAUAAGUCUCAUGUAACUUGGAAAUCCUGAUACUGCCUGCCUUUUCUGUCAGCAGACUGGUGGGGGCAAGACCUCCAGCAAAGUAAUGAUAAAAGGAGGAAGGUCACCUCCUCUGUUAGCACAUCUGGAUCAGGAAGAAGAUGAUUUACUAUCCUCACUCUAAACUCCUAUUGAAAUGAACAAUCCUUUUCCUCACAAAGGGCUAGUGGCUCUGCUGCAUAUUUAACUGAAAUGGUAGUAUGGUCAGUCACAUAGCUGAAGAUCUAAGAACUAUAAUAUGAUUGAACUAAUUGCUUCCAGAGGGCAAAGAAACAGAAAGAAGCUAUAAAAAGGUAUGCAGUAUUUGAAAAUCAGUAAAUCAGUUUUUUUUUCUUCAAAUAAUACUGCUUGUAGAGCUUUAAAUGCCAGAUGGAACGUAAAUUGUUAACUAUUAUUUCUUGUAAGUGUUCAUGUUUUCUGUCCUCUGUUAAAUCUUAAUCUCCAUAUGUUGGUUCAUGCUAACAGCUUCCACAGUAAAAUGCAGUACAUACAAGUGGGCAAAAUGAUGGUGUGUUCUGAGUAGUUACAGUCAGUUGCUAACUGUUGAUGUUGUAUUCAACCUUGUAACUUUCUAAUAUUGAGAUAAUGAGCAAGUGCAAAACUGUAUUAACUCUUCUUUUGUAGCUGCUUGAUCAGUAAGUAGCUGGUUAAAGGAAAGAUUCCCACUAACUUUAGUGGUCUGUGAAUCAAGCUCUUGAUAUAUAUAGAAGGUCCCUGAAAACAAAGUUUUAUUUUUUAAUGUAUUGUCUCAUUUGUUGAAUAGCAUGGCUUACUGCCCAGUGUUAUGGCAGUUCACAAUGACUAUUCUUCCCACCCAUUCUCCUUCUCCUCCUUCCAUUAAUCAGUGAUGGGUUGAAUUCAAAUGUUUUGGAAGUUCAGCCUGGUUUUGAUGUGAUAGUACAUAAAAAUAUCUACAGAGUAGUUAUUAGGGUGCUUGGUGUGGCUGCAUUUGUCCCGGGGAAACCUCCCCCUUCUUUCUGAGAGCAGCAGCAGAUUUUGUGGGAAGGUUGGCAGCUCUACAAGGUCCUCUUUGAGGCAGGCUCCACUCCCUCUGCCCCAGUGGUACAUCCAUCAUUUUUGGUUUUCCUUUCCAAAAUGCUUUUCACAAAAGUCACUUCCUUGUUUCACAUUACUCCAUGCUCUGUGAAUUCACACUGGAACAUGCUGCGAACCAGAUCCAUAUCUGGUGUAAAUCAGCAUCAUCCUGCUACUCUCAGUGGAAAUACAAAACUUGGUAUCUACGGAGGAUCUUGUCCAUGAACUCUAAGCAGACACUUUUGGUAGAGAGAAAAUGGGUUUGUGUGUUCUGGGGAGAGGUACUGCAAGGGGCAGCAAAUGGAAAAUCCUACCUAAACAUUAAGGAGUUUAUCUUCACUAACCUUUCUAACAUGAUAAUUUUGGAUGAACUUCUGCUCUUUGUACCCUGAUACUGUCCAUUUCCAAGUGCUAGAAAUUGGUGUGGAACAAAAAAAAAGGGUCUGAGCUAUUGAUGCUGUAUAAAGGAGCUCAAUUAGUAUCAUCAUAAAAUAACUUUGUAUAAGCAUAUCCCCUGCACUCUCAUUUCUGUCUAUAACUGUUCAUGCUAAGCACCUAUUUCAAAAGCUGCUCCAAGUUUAUUCAAGGAUGCGUUUAGUCUGAUCUGCAGCAUUUGUCACUUGUUGGCCAAAACUGACAUAAGGGAUUUAAAUGUGCUGCUUCUAACGUGGUGACGCUGCCUUUAAUUUAGCAUAAGUGAUUAUAUAUGUUUGACUGUCAAAUCACUGUAUGUAGCUUUUGUGGUUGGGGGACUUGUUUUAUCAAAGAAUUCUGCUGAACCUCUUCCAAACCAGAACUCUCAUGUGUAUAAUUAUAUUGUAUUUUCAUUAUAUAAACUGUAUUUUUAAGACUGAAAACAUAUGAAAUGAUUAUGGGAACGUGCAUUCUAUACGACACCACCAAGUACUUGUGGGAAGAGAAGCUUAUAACAUAAACCAAAUGUUGUCAUUAGUAUACAGGUACAAGAUGCAUCCUUGUGACCUGUGAAACUCUUAAGGAUGAAAUAGAAGGAUCUGCAAACACACGCAAUUGCACUUCAGGUUGAAUGAAAUUUAUAGCAAACUUUACUUUGCAGUGAAUAAACACCUCAGUGGUACUUAAUGGAAGUAGAUGUCAAAUAUUCACAGCUCGCUGUUGAGCCUGUAGCCAAGUUAGGUGCUUUCAAAAUACCUUUCAAAGGGAUACUUCUGCAAAUGCUUAUUGCUUCUUUAAUGCGUCUAAUAGGUGUAAAUACAAUGCUGUAAGUAUUUUGGUGUUUUAACCCAAUUGUUUUUCUGGGAUUAUGUCUUUAGUUUACUUCAAUUGUAUUGCUGUAACUGGAAUUAGAUCCUCAUAGGGUUCAAGUAGGUGCCACAGAGACCAGCCUUUUGAGACAUCUGCAAUACAGUAUUGAUUAAGGCAGGGACCAAAAUCAUGUCCAAUAGCAAGUCUGGCUAAGGGAUGUGAGCUGCGUCAGUUCUGAGCAAAUCAUCAACACUAUCGUGUCAGCAGAAUGUGCUUAUUCAUAGAUUUAUUAUUAUCGUUAUCCUCUUAAAAGGCUGUCAAGCAUUGUCCUUAUGCUUAAAAACAACAACAACAACAGAACUGAAACAUCAUGUAGAAGUAAGCAGCCUACUGAGAAUAUACCAAUACAUGUGUCCAUAGAGUUCAGUGCUUGAAUUCAAUUCUCCUUUUGCACCCUUACGCUGUUGCCCUAAAUAAUAAGCUGUCUGUUAUUCCUAAUGCCUUUGGUGGCUCCAUAGAGAGUAACCUUGCUAACUUUUUUUCCCCGUCUCAGUAACUUUAGCUUAAUUAACAGUGAUUCUUAAAAAUAAAAAAAUAGACCUCAAAGGGUAGAAGGAAUCCACAGGGUGUUUUGUGAAAGUGAAUCACUGCAUGUUUGUGUGUGUGUGUAUAUACAUACAGAGUUACAUAUGUUCACGCAUGCAGAAAACCAGAGAAAGCAUCUGUCAUCAGAACUAUCUGUGAGUCACCUCAGAUAAAUGCUGUUUCAAGGCAAUCCUAUGCAAUAGAUUAAACAAUGUCUUCAGUUUGUGGCAGAGAGUUUAGGCCCAGUCAUUUACAAGCUAAAAAAUAGGUCAAGGAAUAGUGGUGAUAACUUGCCUUAUCGCCGGGCUGUGUAUGUGAGACCAUUGUCAUCCGUAGCUCCUGAGCAGUGUGCUGAUGUGGGUGCUGAGCCCUCUGCAGAGCUGGCAGCACAGGAGUCACUGAUGUUACAGUGCUGCAAACCUGAGCAGAAAAAUCAGGGCUGGGGUCUUAACAAGAGUUUUUUUUUAUCACAAAUGUUGACAAGGACAACAAAUGCAGAAUACCUGAGUUCAAUGAAAUGUCCUGAGUUGCCAGAGAAACCAUCUGAAGGCAGCUUUGCAGACUCAGUGCAGCAAAUUCCUGCAGCACAUUCCAGAAGUCCCCAGCCUGAGUCACUCUGAGCUCAAUUGCAGAGCUUGGAAGCUGAUGAAUCACUGUUGAGCAGUAUGUAUGUUUUUAUAAUCUUUGCUUUAAGUAAUGUCCAUUCAAGAUCUAAGCUAAUGACCAUUGGAUAAGGGUGCAGAUGGAAUGUGGUUUCCACAUUUGGAAGCCUGCUGUGAUGAAUCUGUUCUUUAAGUGUGUUUAUGUUUGAGGGACUUUGCAUGCGGGCUAUCUCCUCAAUGGCAUGUUAAACUCUGCUCUCCAAGGAGAAGAGUGCAAGAGAGGUAGAAGGGGGAGGAGAAGAAUCCAAAAGAGUGGAAAAAGCUGCAAAAUGCAUUUCUUUAGAAGCACUGAAGUUGAUUUUUUUUUGCAAGGUUUGAAGCGUCCUUCUCAUUCAAGGGAGCUCUGAUAACUCACCACAGAUUAUUACAGUGUUGAGGGGUCCGAACCUGCGGAGGGGGUCACUGUUUUCAGUAUCUUCAUGAUGAAUGCUGUUUGUUUGUAUGCUGUGUUCAAACACUGAAAUGAUUCAAAGCGCUUGCAGAUUUUUGCUGAGAUUCUAAGCUUUAUUAAUUUUACACAGUCUCCUUCCUUCUUUCUUCAUCUCCAUGCACGUGCUUUACUUCAGCACAGCAUUUAGGCACAGCUCCCAUCACAGGCGUACUUCCACUGGAGAUGACUCAUUCACGUGUGGUGUUCUGCAGACCCGCUUCUGCAGCUUCUUACAGUUCAUACAAUCAUUAAGGUUGGAGAAGACCUCUCAGAUCCUCUAGUCCAACCACCCACAUGCCACCAGUAUUGCCCGUUAAACCACGUCUCUAAAAGCAUAGAGAGUUUAGUUCCUAAAGCACGGAGAGACUUGAGCUGGAAACGUAAUGAUUGGUCUGAAGACAACACGGGAUUAGCCUCGGCUUUCCUCCCAAACUAAUGUAAACAAAUUCCCUACUCCCGAAAUAACUCGCGAGAUACCUUUUCCCCCUCCUCGCCCUGAAGUAUUCCUCUGUGCUUCCUGAUUUUUGGCAGGGACGUUUCAGAAAUAGCUAUUACAAUGAUGUUUCCACUCUGAAAGAGGAAGCGCUGGGUGGGAGGAGUUAGGAGAGGAGCAGAGGAAGCAAAGCUGUUUCGUGCCAUCUCGGGCUGAGCUUCCACAGCAGAUAGGUGGGAACGCAUCUGGGUGCUGAGCCACCAGAGCCCACCCUCGCCCGGCACGAGGCCAAACGUGAGCACACAAGGCAUGGCAUGCGUGGCCCCUCGUAUGGCUCGGCACAGCUGAUGCUGACAGCUCGGCACUGCUGAGCAGAGUGAAUGAGGCGAGGUCAGGAGGAAGGCAGCAGCGGGCUCCCCUCCCUGCGUUGUACAUGAAAGGUGCUGCCGGGACGGCUCGCCAGUGCGGCUUUGUGUGCAGCAGUCAUGCUGGAGAAGCUGCUCUGUCACAUGUUUGUCAGCCAGCCAAGAUUUUAAUUCUGAACUUUUCCAUGAAACCAAUAGCUAUAUUCUCUGGCUCUGGCCCGCUCUAGUGCUUGGCCAGGGCUAUGGGAAUGAAAUGUCAAAGCAGCCUGUCUAUGAAUUGAGAUUGCUUUCAUGCGUCUCCACCUGCUGGCUGGCAUUUCACUAAUUGCAGUAGCCUGUAGGGAUGACAGUGGACUUUUUGAAGCGAAGGGCUCACGUGGGAAGCGUAACUCAGCUCUAUGAGGAGACAAACAAAUGAGUGUGAUCAAAGAGAUCAUUUCUAACUUGACAAAGAGUGCUGUCCUGCAUCACAGGUAGAAGGCCACUGAGGUUUUCAAGCCAUGCUUUUGAGCUUCUGAAGCCUCAGCUGAAAGAUAAGCACUAAGAAGGAUUUUUUUUGGAAGGAAUUCGCCAAGUGUGGAGACAUUAACAUAUUAUUUCACGACUAAAACCAGAUGCUGAGGAUGCUAAUGUGCUCUCAUUGACACAGUGAAAGAGGGAAAUAUUUAUUAAUAUCUGGAAGCAUGAGCAUUCUGGGGCCCGCAGCCUAGUUUCUGUGUGGUUAGGAAAGCAGUUACUUAGCAAAUGUGGGCAGGCAGCUGUUUUGAAUGGAAAGGAAUAGAAAUGAUUAAUGACUUUUAUGCUUUAAAGAAAUGAACCCACAGGAUUUCUUUCUUCUACUGUGCUGUCCCACUUGGCCAUUUCUGUCAUGUGCUCUGGGACUUUCUUUGGAAGUUUUCAAUGGUCUGUCUUGAACUACUCUUUAGAAACUUACUGGACCAGAUCUGGAGCCAGACAGAUGCCAGCUGUGGAUCUGAUCCAUUUGCACGUACAUUCACAGGCUCAGAGCACAGAUUACCAACACUUGAUAUUCCAUGAACUUUGCACCACGCCCGCAAUAGAAUAUCUUGCUCUCAGAUACUGCAGUGAUGGGUGCAGUAUUAAAUCCUAUGUAGAGAAGAAUUUUCCCUUUUUCUUAGCUGCAUUUUGUUUGGGCUAUAUUUUACAAUGUGGAAGGCAAGAGGCGUUCUCAGGAACUGAAACAAUGCAGGGCAUAAACCCUUUCUUUGAUAAUGUCUGAUGUCAAUACUGAUUAUUGAUGUUUUACCAUCUUCUAUACUCAUGGGUUGUUUCAUUCUGCCAAACUGCUCUGUCAUCUGUUUCUUGUGUAUGUGUUCAUUUAGCUCCUUAGGUCUUGCAUGUGCGGCAACAGAAGGUGGGAGGUAGAAAAGGUUAAAAAGAAGAUGAGGAAGAGAAAGAGGAACGUGGAGAAAAAGAAAAAGGAAGGCUGUACAAAACACUGAUAUUUUCACUGAAUUGCUCACAGUGAAUCAUUCAGCCAGUGUUGCUGAAGCAGUACUUACUGGGGACGAUCCCAUUGUCCUGGGAGUUGACUUUAUGGAAUUAUUUCCAGUAUACUUCUGUUCUGUGCGUGAUUUGAUCCGCUGAAGGUUCCGUUCCCCUAUUUUUGGAUUAUGUGUUCAGAGUGCCAAAGUGUGAAAUAGGAAUGAUUUUUAUUCCAAAGUAUUCCUCCACUUCAAAAGUGUUGUUCCAUAUUACUAAGCAUUGGGAACAGGAUUUUAACUAUAGAAAGCGGUGAAGGUGCCCAUUACAUAUCUGUAUAAUUAAGCACCAUCAAGCAUAUUUAUUCCAUAGCUAGACAAGUAACAUUGGAUAUAUUUGGUUAUUGUUAGCACUACACAUCUGACUGAAUUAGCUAGCUGUGUGAACUCCAUGUAUCAUGUAAUUUAGAAGGUGUAUGAGUUUAAUACAUCCUGAAUGCGUCUAAUACCUUGGCUAAACACAGGCACCGAGCUAGAAAGAGUUCUCGUAGAUCACUUUAAGACACAGCAGGACUGGAAGAUGAUAUUUCCUUGUCUGCAAGUAUAUCACUCUCAAGCCAUCGUUUCAACACAGGAAGUUAUCUGCUACCUGGGGUAACAAUGUGCGCUUGAGCACAAUUGGUCUGCUGUCUGAUGACAUUUAAGAAUUAGCCACAUAAGGAUUUCUUACAACACUGUCAAAGUAGUUCAACUGAUCAUUUUAACUGAGCUUAUUUAAAAUUCCUGAAUAUACUGGUGCAAAAUGAAAGUAACUUUUGCACACUUGCACUGCACGCUUCACUUACAUCAGUUAUUUCCAGUCUAGGAGUGAAGACUCAAAUGAGUAGUGCUUCUCUUUCUGUGUGUGUCUCUCUAGAUGCUUGCCAGGUGGACAGCUGAAUUAGCACUGGUGCCAUUCAAAUCUUCUAACACAAGGAUGAGCUUUAUACGUGUUGGUACACAAAAUCCCACAUAGAGUGGGAUUCAGACCUAUGUUCAGUCCACUUCACUGAAAGCAGCAGCUGGUCCAAUAGCCUGAAUCUUCUUUCAGGGGCUAUUUUGGAGAUUGCUAUCACUCAGGCAGGAAGUAUGAUUGUGUAUAUGAGUGUGCAUUUCUGUGCUGCUGAACAUGUGAGGAACGGACCUAUUUUCUCAAGUUGAUUCUUACUCUUCUUUUUUUUUUUAACUGCAAAAUACUUCCUGAAAACCUCUCCCUGGUAACCUUGGAGGGUACAGCAACAAGCAUGGUGGUUUUAUUCCUACCUGGACCAUCUAGUUGAUGUGCUUAUGGAUGAGUUUUGUCCUCUCUUGUUUUUCUGACCUUUUUUAGUUUUCAGACCUGUGCAUCACUGAAGUAUUCAUCAUCAUCUACUCUUGUUUGACACUGUCUCAAUUAACACAACCUUUGGCUGUCAUAUCAGAAUGUCUUUAAAGUGUCCCCAGUGAAAGGUCUCCUUGUAGUGCAGUAUUUCUGCAUGAAGAGGGGUGUGUGUGUGUGUGUGUGUGUGUGUGUGUGUGUGUAAAAAAAGCUAUGAACUUCAUAUGGUUUUCCAAAGUGUGUUGCUGCUAAGCAGUAUGUGAGGCAGGUGAGGAGUCCUUUGUAUCGUUUGCAAAUAAGUCACAUACCAGUUGGUGUUCUUGGGCCUUAUGAUUGCACUCCAAAUGAAGAAACACUGAUUAUGAAUGUUUCCCUACAAAUACCCUUAUUAGCGUUUUUGUUUUGGCAAGGGAAUUAUUACCUGCAAAUCCUUUGCCAGUCUCUGGGUAUAAUAAUGAAUAAUUGUGAUGGAAAAUAAGUCAGUGGGAAAUAGAUUAUCUGAGAGGCAAGUGUCUGGUGAGCUGUGCAUUACUCUGAUAGGGAUUGUCUAAUUGUACGAAAGACUAUGAAAAUGGAGCAGAAAAGUGGGCAAUCUAGGUAGAAAAAGACAGCAUGAAGUCGUCUCACAGGUAGUGUGCUGUUUGUGAUAUUAAUGUAAAUGAUGCCUGACAAGACAGCCAGCGGUGUGCAUCUCUGCAGAAUGACUGGAAGGCCAGUUUAGGCAGAUGGCUUUGAGGUGACUCCUUGCAGUGAAACCUCAUCUAGGGCAGGACUGGUCCCUGUCUCACAUGGGCAGCCAAGGAGCAGAAGGAGGCAAGCCACCUUUUGCAGGUUCUGGCUCAGAGCAUUCUCUCUCUGCGUUCUGCAAGCUGGGGCUUGCAAGCAGCGGGGCGGAAGCAAGCUGUACUCUAGCAGCACAAAUAUUGAAGUAACUUACUUCCCCGGCUGGAGCAAGGAGGAACCGUGGAAGGAAUUGCAGCUCUCUGAGUCACACUUCCUCCUUGGAGUUUCUCUUGGAGUAGCGCAGUUCUGCACCAUGCUGGAGGCUGACACUAGAGCUAUGCUUGGUCCAUCCUCUCACCCCCAAAGUGACAGGGAGAAAGAACGAGAGGAAGGAGAAAGACAGUGAGGCACUGGAUUAUCAUACCCUCAGAUCUCCCGAUUGCAGCUCUAAAUAUAGCCAAACAAGUAAAAAUCUGCUUUUGGAAGUGGUACAACUAUGUGGCUCCCAACCCUUCAAACAACAUGCAUGCAGAAGGCAGCCAGUCCCCUCCCGACCAAGAUGCUGGAUGGGGAACCAUGCUAAGCACAUUCUGAUCUCCAGCCAGAAAGUGAAAAAUUCCCAACUGCCACACCUACCAGGGUGUGACCAGAGACUAUCAACUAGUUUAUAUUUGCACUUUGAUACACAGCACAGGCUUAACAUCGUACGGUGUAUCCCUGGAAAAAAAUAGCAACAAGUUUCAACACAGAAAUUCUGUUAGAUUGGGAGGCCAGAAUAAAUAAAAGCCGACGAGUUGUAGAAUGACUCGAGGUAGAGUAAAAGAUCUCAUCUCAAAAAUAACACCAAGGCAGUGUGCUGCAGAUGAAACACAUAAUGAAAAAACAUUCCAAACUUCUCAUUUGAGAAAAGAUUACAAAUAAAAUAGGCUUGGGCAUGCCAAGUGUAAAAUCUUUGAUAUGGAAAUGCAGUAAUGGUUAAACGAAAUGGGCUGAAAAUCUAUUUAUCAACAGCCUGUAAUGCCUUGUUGGAUCGUCCCAUGAGAAAAGCAAAUAAGGAGUAGUAGGAGAACAUACAGACACUGUUAAAAGGUUUACAUACCUCCCGCCUUCAUACCUUGAGACAUAGUCCUUCACCUUAACUGGAGAUAUCUAAAGGUUUAAAUGCUGGUAUGAGAGCAGGGUUUGAGAUGCACGGCCUGAGACCCAGCUUUUCAGAAGGGCCCAAAUGUUUCUGGCUUGAGGUGUCUGAAAGGAACCUGCUCUCUAGAGGGUGACAGGGGGUGAAGGCACCAGCACACCGGGGGGCACCUGGGGUGACACCCUUGGGCAGGGGCAUCUCUGCCAUCCUCACCAAGGCUGCUGCAGAUGAAGAGCUGGGCCACAGCACUGCACUGCUGGCUGAAAGCGGCACCGCGCCGUUCGUCUGCCUCACUUCUCUCUUCAUUCACAGUUUUCUUUUGCCAGUGGGCAGUAAGUCAUUACCGAGCCCUACAUGUGAAUCACGAGUGCCGUGGAAAUUAAACUCCUUGACCUGCUCACGUUUUUCCCUUUGAUGUCAGUCUGAAUAGGCAUUUUUUGACUGAAACGUAGUUUUAAUUUUGAGAGCUAGCAAGACAACCACAACCUUCUCUGCAAGGAAGUUCUCUGAAGAAGUCUUUGUUGUUCUUCCCAAAUUACUUUCCUAGAGACAGAGCGUCGGCAUGCAGUGCUAUGGGGGGCCAGAGUGUGCUUCUGCCAUCCACAGGCACAGGAGAGAGAAAAACAGCUACUGGGCUGUACCCCAGAUGUGAAGGGACUAGCCAUGGUGUUGGGGACCAAAAUCUGUGCCCUGUGGGGAGCAGUAAAGUGGAGAGACCCCCAGCCCCAACCUGCAAGAGCUGGGUGCUGGAGGUGUGUGGUGAGCCAUGAAAUCAUUUGAGUUGGAAGGGGCCUUUAAAAGUCAUCUAUCCCAACUCCCCUGCAAUGAACAGAGACACCUACAGCUAGAUUAGGGUGCUUGGAGCCUCAUCCAGCCUCUGUGUGAUGAGCUGGCAUGGGACAAAGCAGCACGGCUGCUGAAAUAGGGGUGCUGCUGUUUCAGAGGCUGGGGGUUCAUAUCCCCAACAGGUUAGGUAAUGUGCAAGGCAUCCAAUAUUAAAUUUCCGUCUGAAAUCAUACAAUGUUUUGAUGAAG
Molecule: long non-coding RNA, 31465 nt
Organism: Gallus gallus (chicken)
Lineage: Eukaryota; Metazoa; Chordata; Aves; Galliformes; Phasianidae
Source: Ensembl